UGGGAUACCGAGAAUGCUUUAUGCUUACAUGCGUAUGUUUGAAUUUUUCAAUGGCGUAAUGCUCCAUGAAAAUGGAAAUGCUACGCGAUUUGGGAGGAUGCAAUGCAAUAUGAUUCUACAUGUAGGGAUGUGAAAUGCUGGGUAGAAUGCCAAGCUGAGGCAAGGGGAUCUGCUGGGGAAAUGAUCACCAUCUUUUGGACCCUGGCA
This 207-nucleotide long non-coding RNA is filed under the name Lathyrus oleraceus (garden pea). RNAcentral's name for it is "Pisum sativum (pea) long non-coding RNA (PSAT_LNC006140)". Lineage: Eukaryota; Viridiplantae; Streptophyta; Magnoliopsida; Fabales; Fabaceae. The record is from RNAcentral.